Molecule: ribosomal RNA, 443 nt
Filed under: uncultured bacterium
Lineage: Bacteria
Description: partial 16S ribosomal RNA
Rfam family: Bacterial small subunit ribosomal RNA
Source: RNAcentral
CCUACGGGAGGCAGCAGUGGGGAAUAUUGGUCAAUGGAGGCAACUCUGACCCAGCAACGCCGCGUGAGUGAUGAAGGUCUUCGGAUUGUAAAACUCUUUAAGUGGGGACGAAGAAAGUGACUGUACCCACAGAAUAAGCCUCUGCUAACUACGUGCCAGCAGCCGCGGUAAUACGUAGGCGGCAAGCGUUAUCCGGAAUGACUGGGCGUAAAGGGUGCGUAGGUGGUUUGACAAGUUAGUAGCGUAAUUCCGGGGCUCAACUUCGGAACUAUUACUAAAACUGUUGGGCUUGAGUGCAGGAGAGGUAAGUGGAAUUCCCGGUGUAGCGGUGGAAUGCGUAGAGAUCGGGAGGAACACCAGAGGCGAAGGCGACUUACUGGACUGUAACUGACGCUGAGGCUCGAAAGCGUGGGGAGCAAACAGGAUUAGAUACCCGAGUAGUC